RNAcentral lists this long non-coding RNA (1336 nucleotides) under Felis catus (domestic cat). RNAcentral's name for it is "lncRNA (ENSFCAG00000043508.2)". Lineage: Eukaryota; Metazoa; Chordata; Mammalia; Carnivora; Felidae. The record is from RNAcentral.
GGCCCCUGCUCUCAUCUCAGACACCUGCUGGGCUUCCCCACGGGACCUGGCCUCUGGCCUCCUGCCACUGCUCCCAGAGCCAAAGUGAGCUGGGGACGCCACCCACAUGGCCACUGCUCCCCUCUCAAAAGUCUGGCCACCAAGGGAGCCAGUGCCUGGCCCAGAGAAAGAGCUUCCUAAAGAGAUGGGGGAGAGGAAGAGUCAAUAGCUGAGGGGGACAGCAGACGGACAGCAGACAGUCAGGCAGACACAACACAGGACAUGUAACGGAAGGAAGGAUGGACAGACAGGUGGAUGGUAGGAAGGAGAGGGACGGACCGACGGAUGGAAGGAUGGAUGACUGGAUGUGUCAGCAUGUGACAAGCAGAUCCAAAUCCCACUUAACACAGAAGGUCUGUGCCCUAAGACCCUGAAGACAGCCCAUGCUGGUGGCCUUCGCCUGGGCCUCCCUCAAACUCCUUGUAGCCUAUCAGCCACAUUCCCUGGGAAGGCAGCGUGCCCUCAGACCCAGAGCCCUGUCUCACCCCGGAGCGUCCGAGGGUGGCAUGUCUGGUCCUCUCUGACCCCACCCAGGGCCCAGGCCCAGGCCAAGCCAAGAACAUAGGGCUUGCUGAGGGCUUGCUGAGCACACGGACGGGGCGGGCGUCCAGGAGGCCUUGGGCUUGAGCUCCAUUUAGAGCAGCAGAACUCUGGCCCUGCCAGGUCUCUCUCCCCAAGGUCCUGCCAGGACUCCCUCAGACAUGGGGGCCUUGGGCAUCUGAAAAACUGCAAGGGUCCCAGCCCCUUCCCUGGGCACCUGUCACCUCAUCCUCCCUGAGGCAGCCCCAGUCCUGCGAGAGGGCACCCCGCUGUCCCGACCCCGAGGGCGCGUGGAAGGGAAGGCCUGGGCUCGCGCCCCACCUGUGCAGGCGUGGGUCUGGCAGACUCUCAGUGUCUUGCAGAUCGCCGGGAGCCACUUCCCUGGCUGGUGCUGGACCUACCGCAGGAGGACCUGGAGGAAGACGCCCCAGGAGCCAGCCUGUGGCCCACCACGGUCACCUUGCUCACCCUCUUCCUACUGAGUCUCUUCUACAGCACAGCGCUGACCGUGACAAGUGUGCGGGGCCCAGCCGACAGCAGAGAGGGCCCCCAGUACUGAGCAGAAGCCAGCCAGGCACACAGGGAGGAGGCUGGAGGAGCUUCUGGGAAGCCCAGCUGGAUGUCAGAGCUCAGCGCUGCUCAGAAACUGUCCGCCCACCCCCACACACAGGCCGUGCUGGCACAAUAAACUGAUGCCAAAGGCAAAGGUUCUCAGACUCUGAAUGAGAGGAGGGAAAAGAGAGGGACGGAGGUUUGG